RNAcentral lists this ribosomal RNA (253 nucleotides) under uncultured bacterium. RNAcentral describes it as "partial 16S ribosomal RNA". It matches the Rfam family "Bacterial small subunit ribosomal RNA", at positions 524 to 776 of the family's 1533-position model. The record is from RNAcentral.
UACAGAGGUCUCAAGCGUUGUUCGGAUUCAUUGGGCGUAAAGGGUGCGUAGGUGGCGGGGCAAGUCAGGUGUGAAAUCUCGGGGCUCAACCCCGAAACUGCACUUGAUACUGCCUUGCUGGAGUACUGGAGAGGAGAUUGGAAUUUACGGUGUAGCAGUGAAAUGCGUAGAUAUCGUAAGGAAGACCAGUGGCGAAGGCGAAUCUCUGGACAGUUACUGACACUGAGGCACGAAGGCCAGGGGAGCAAACGGG